UGGGGAAUAUUGCACAAUGGGGGAAACCCUGAUGCAGCGACGCCGCGUGAGCGAAGAAGUAUUUCGGUAUGUAAAGCUCUAUCAGCAGGGAAGAAAAUGACGGUACCUGACUAAGAAGCACCGGCUAAAUACGUGCCAGCAGCCGCGGUAAUACGUAUGGUGCAAGCGUUAUCCGGAUUUACUGGGUGUAAAGGGAGCGUAGACGGAUGGGCAAGUCUGAAGUGAAAGCCCGGGGCUCAACCCCGGGACUGCUUUGGAAACUGUUUAUCUGGAGUGCUGGAGAGGUAAGUGGAAUUCCUAGUGUAGCGGUGAAAUGCGUAGAUAUUAGGAGGAACACCAGUGGCGAAGGCGGCUUACUGGACAGUAACUGACGUUGAGGCUCGAAAGCGUGGGGAGCAAACA
Molecule: ribosomal RNA, 402 nt
Filed under: uncultured bacterium
Lineage: Bacteria
Description: bacterial SSU rRNA
Rfam family: Bacterial small subunit ribosomal RNA
Source: RNAcentral